RNA transcript from Humulus lupulus (European hop), 2564 nucleotides. RefSeq lists it as uncharacterized. Lineage: Eukaryota; Viridiplantae; Streptophyta; Magnoliopsida; Rosales; Cannabaceae. The record is from RefSeq and is a predicted model, not a curated record. The transcript has 16 exons.
UGUUCGUAUUCUCGGUUCCACUAUUCGCCACCUCCUUCAUCUUCUUCCUCCAGGAAACCCUAACUUUUCUCCACUUUCUACCUCUCUCUCUGUUCUAAUGGUUUGUAUUUACUAUUUGUAAGUGUAUAUGAGCGGAGCGGGAGAUAGGAGCUUCUUCUCCGAAGUCCGAAGGCGCACUAAUUCAUACGUCGUCUUUCAUAAUUUUUCUCGAAAAAUUUAUCGCUAAUCUCUGCCUCGCUUAAUCAGCUGCAGCAGCCAGGAAGUUUUUAAGCUGGCGUGCAUUAGCCUGCAUACCUUAGAUGAUCGUUAACAAGAGAACUUCAGGAGACUUUUUAUGCCAACUUGUAAAAUAGGAGUUUGCCAUCACGAGUUCAUGAACAAGUAUUGUUUGUGUCAUAGUUUGUAUAUGAUGAUUUUGUCCUGAUCAAGCCAAAAACACAGAGAUAGACUAUAGUGAGUGAAUGAAUGUUUGAGGAGAAGGAUCAUAUUAAAGAAAUGAGCAGUGUUGACAGAAACAGUCAGAAUAGCAGUAACUCAUCCUUUUCAUCAACUCAUCCAAAAAUUGAUGGUAAUUCUCAUGAUGUAGUUCAUAACAAUAAUCCUGAUCUUCUCCCUCCAACCCACUACUCCAGAGUACGUAUGGGAAAUUAUAGUGAUAUUGAAUCCGCCGCUCAAGAUGCUGUGUUACGUGAACAAGAAAUCACUACUCAAACAGUUAUACGCAGCCAAAGAGAGGCAAGAGGUGUGGAAGGAUCUCUUCAGGAUAGCUCAGACAUUUUCUCUGGACAUCAUGACCCCAAUGCUAUCAAGGAGCAUCUAUUAAAGAUGACCACUGAACAUCGUGCUGAAAUGGCUUCAAAACGCGGGAGGUCUACUCUAUCCGAAGAAGGUAACACAGAGAUCGGUAAUGGAUAUGGAGUCCCUGGUGGAGGUGCCUAUAAUGGUGGAAAUUUUGGAGCUGGAAGUAACGAAAUGGAUGAGAAAAAUUCUGUGCCUGAUGGAGAGUCAGAACAUAAGCCCGCACCUAAAGAGUUGCCUAAGUAUCUUAAACAAAAGUUAAGAGCAAGGGGAAUCCUUAAGGAUGAGCCAGAAAAAAAUAUUUCAAAAUUGGAGACUAGUUCAAUGAAAGUCACAGAAAAGGCAACGUUGCCUCCUGGAUGGGUAGAAGCAAAAGACCCUUCAAGUGGUGCUUUCUACUACUACCAUGCGGCAACGGGGAAAAGUCAAUGGGAAAGGCCUGUGGAAACACCAAUUAUACAACCUCCAACACCCCCUCAGACAGAAGAUUGGGUAGAAGCACUAGAUGAAACAUCAGGCCACAAGUAUUACUACAACACAAAGACUCAUGUAUCACAAUGGGAACGCCCUAAGACACAUGUAUCACAAUGGGAACCUCCCAGUGCAUCCCAACAAGUUGCAAAUCAGCACCUUCUCAAUGCAGUUUCUGAAAGUAUAUCCAAUGUGAAUGGGAAAUCUGGGCUUCUAGAACAGAAGGAUCAAUCAUCUGAACCAGAGAGGUGCAUGGGAUGUGGGGGGUGGGGAGUCGGGCUAGUGCAGAUGUGGGGAUACUGCAAUCACUGCACAAGAGUUUUAAAUCUUCCUCAAAGCAAAUUUUUGAGAACCCAUGCAAUUAACCACUAUCUGGUUUGCAAACCAGCAGAACUGAAAGGAGAUUCUGACAAAAAGGUGCUUAACCAGAGGUCCAAUUGGAAGCCUCCAAUGGGAAAAGGAAAUAAAAGAGAGAGUAAGAAACGAGCAUACUCGCAGGAUGAUGAGCUGGAUCCAAUGGACCCAAGCUCUUAUUCUGAUGCCCCAAGAGGGGGCUGGGUUGUAGGCCUUAAAGGGGUACAGCCACGAGCUGCUGAUACCACUGCCACGGGACCCCUAUUCCAACAGCGUCCUUACCCAUCGCCAGGAGCUGUUUUGCGGAAGAAUGCUGAAGUUGCUUCACAAACCAAGAAAUCAGGCUCACCCUUUAUACCUAUAUCCAAAAGAGGAGAUGGGAGUGAUGGACUUGGUGAUGCUGAUUAAGAAGACAUCCCAAAAAAUAAUAAUAUGCAGAGCUGGAAGGCAAUUGUGUCAUUUGUUUGUAGUCGAGGAAGGAUAAAUGACGCUUAGGUGUUCUUGAAUUGUUUGAUUAACGCUGUGAUUUAUCCGGAACCCUAAGUGUGGUAAAGGCAAGGAAAAGUUGAGGAAGUGAGUGCCGGGGUCUGCUUGCAAAAGUGUAAAUGUGGCCCGACCUUUGGGAAGUUUGCACUUUUGAAAUGACUAUUUUAAUUAUGUUUAAACAACUUUGGUUGCUACAAUGCUUUUAAGUUUUAAUGUAAUUUUUUUUAGUGUGUGCACACAUUACACUUAAAAAGGUUUUUUAUGAGUAUUUUUUAGACUUUUUUAAUGGUAUAAAUGGUUUUAUUUUUGCAAAAAUUAGUGUUAGUAUUUUUCGGUCAUUAAAGGUGGUAUCAUAGCUUGAGUUGAUCCGAUUCUGUAGACAAACCCACAUGUACAUUCUGCAAGGUAGAUCGACACUCUGUAAGUAUUACCUUUAAAUUUAUUUUAGUUGGGUU